GCAGACUGGGACUGCGACACGGCCCAGACUCCUACGGGAGGCAGCAGCAAGGAAUUUUCCCCAAUGGGCGCACGCCUGAGGGAGCAACGCCGCGUGGAGGACGACGGCCUUCGGGUUGUAAACUCCUUUCGGGUGGGACGAAACUGACGGUACCACCAGAAGCAGCCCCGGCUAACUCUGUGCCAGCAGCCGCGGUAAGACAGAGGGGGCAAGCGUUGUCCGGAGUUACUGGGCGUAAAGGGCGCGGAGGCGGUCUGCUGCGUCGGCGCUGAAAGCGCCCCGCUUAACGGGGCGAGGCGCGCCGAUACGAGCAGGCUGGAGGCGAGCAGAGGGUGGUGGAAUUCCGGGUGGAGCGGUGAAAUGCGUAGAGAUCCGGAGGAACGCCGGUGGAGCAGUCGGCCACCUGGGCUCGACCUGACGCUGCGGCGCGACCGCGUGGGGAGCAAACCGGAUUAGAUACCCGGGUAGUCCACGCCGUAAACGAUGCCGGCUCGGCGUUUGGCGCGCGUGAGCGUGCUGGGCGC
Molecule: ribosomal RNA, 524 nt
Filed under: uncultured Chloroflexota bacterium
Lineage: Bacteria; Bacillati; Chloroflexota
Description: bacterial SSU rRNA
Rfam family: Bacterial small subunit ribosomal RNA
Source: RNAcentral